CAUCGUAUGUCAAAGACUUACUUGACAGCUUUUUGCUCUCAUGCUCUCUUCUAUUGUUCUCUGUUAUUGUUUUAAUUUUCCGCCGGCCGGUGCAUUUCUAUCUUAAUGCCAUUUUCGCGUUGUUAAAUUAUAAAAUAAAUGCUAAAUAGGCAGAUUCAAGGAAUUUGUAAUUAGAAAAAUGUCUGGACAUAAAUUUUUGUAAUUAACAGGAGUGAGCUGGCGCCUGGAUUGAAUAAAUUUUUGGAAAAACACGUGCGUUAUUAGUCUGAUAAAACAUAGACUUCAAUAUUUUGGAAAUUUGCCAUAAAUUCCCGGGCUUAUCAUUAGUUCCGUCCACGUACUAAAUGGUUUCAAAAGUUUUACUGCAAGUCAUUGGCGUGCUUUACCAGCUGAUAGAAAAGAGCGGAAGAGAGAGAGAGAGCAAAUUUUUUUUAUGACUUUUAAAUAUUUCGCUAUGAUUGUCAUCGUUAUUAACUGAAAAUGUCUUAAUUGCAAUUAAUAGUAAAACAUAGCAGUAUUUCUGAAUUGUAUCAAUUCACAA
Stomoxys calcitrans (stable fly) is the source of this 541-nucleotide long non-coding RNA. RefSeq lists it as uncharacterized. The record is from RefSeq and is a predicted model, not a curated record. The transcript has 2 exons. Lineage: Eukaryota; Metazoa; Arthropoda; Insecta; Diptera; Muscidae.